This 258-nucleotide ribosomal RNA is filed under the name uncultured bacterium. RNAcentral describes it as "partial 16S ribosomal RNA". The record is from RNAcentral.
CUGCUGCCUUCCGUAGGAGUCUGGGCCGUGUCUCAGUCCCAAUGUGGCCGUUCAACCUCUCAGUCCGGCUACCGAUCGUCGGCUUGGUGAGCCGUUACCUCACCAACUACCUAAUCGGACGCGAGCCCAUCUUCGAGCGAUAAAAUCUUUGAUACCAGCAGGAUGUCCUCCCGGUAAUGUUAUGCGGUAUUAGCGACCGUUUCCAGCCGUUAUUCCCCUCUCGAAGGCAGGUUGCUCACGUGUUACUCCACCCGUCCG